RNAcentral lists this ribosomal RNA (1175 nucleotides) under metagenome. RNAcentral's name for it is "SSU rRNA". It matches the Rfam family "Eukaryotic small subunit ribosomal RNA", at positions 558 to 1748 of the family's 1831-position model. The record is from RNAcentral.
AGUCUGGUGCAGGCAGCCGCGGUAAUUCCAGCUCCAAUAGCGUAUAUUAAAGUUGUUGCAGUUAAAAAGCUCGUAGUUGGAUCUGGGGUUCGGGUCGGCGGUUUGCCGCUUCGGCGGCUACUGCCGUGCUCGACUCUUACUAGCCGGUGCGUCUUGCGGUGCUCUUCAUCGAGUGCCGUAGGAGCCUGGCAUGUUUACUUUGAAAAAAUUAGAGUGCUCAAAGCAGGCGAUUCCGCCUGAAUAGUGUUGCAUGGAAUAAUGGAAUAGGACCUCGGUUCUAUUUUGUUGGUUUUCGGAACUUGAGGUAAUGAUUAAGAGGGACGGUCGGGGGCAUUCGUAUUUCGGUGUUAGAGGUGAAAUUCUUGGAUCGCUGAAAGACGGACAAGUGCGAAAGCAUCUGCCAAGAACGUCUCCAUUAAUCAAGAACGAAAGUCAGAGGUUCGAAGACGAUCAGACACCGUCCUAGUUCUGACCAUAAACGAUGCCAACUAGCGAUCCGCAGUGGUUGCUAUAAACGGACUCUGCGAGCAGCUUCCGGGAAACCAAAGUGUUUGGGUUCCGGGGGAAGUAUGGUUGCAAAGCUGAAACUUAAAGGAAUUGACGGAAGGGCACCACCAGGAGUGGAGCCUGCGGCUUAAUUUGACCCAACACGGGGAAACUCACCCGGUCCGGACACUGUAAGGAUUGACAGAUCGAGAGCUCUUUCUUGAUUCGGUGGAUGGUGGUGCAUGGCCGUUCUUAGUUGGUGGAGUGAUUUGUCUGGUUAAUUCCGAUAACGAACGAGACUCUAGCCUGCUAACUAGUUGCGCCGUGUUCAUACGCGGCUGUAGACUUCUUAGAGGGACAGGUGGCGUUUAGCCACACGAAAUUGAGCAAUAACAGGUCUGUGAUGCCCUUAGAUGUCCGGGGCCGCACGCGCGCUACACUGAAGGAGUCAGCGUGUGCUAUCCGGGCUCGGAAGAGUUCGGUAACCCGUUGAAACUCCUUCGUGCUUGGGAUUGUGGCUUGUAAUUAUCGCGCAUGAACGAGGAAUUCCCAGUAAGUGCAAGUCAUCAGCUUGCGCUGACUACGUCCCUGCCCUUUGUACACACCGCCCGUCGCUACUACCGAUUGAAUGGUUUAGCAAGGUACUCGGAUUGGUCUCGAUCUUGUACGAAAGUGCGGGAUCUGUGGCC